This 395-nucleotide ribosomal RNA is filed under the name uncultured Acidimicrobiales bacterium. RNAcentral's name for it is "bacterial SSU rRNA". It matches the Rfam family "Bacterial small subunit ribosomal RNA", at positions 360 to 771 of the family's 1533-position model. Lineage: Bacteria; Bacillati; Actinomycetota; Acidimicrobiia; Acidimicrobiales. The record is from RNAcentral.
AAUCUUGCGCAAUGGGCGAAAGCCUGACGCAGCAACGCCGCGUGGGGGAUGAAUGCCUUCGGGUUGUAAACCCCUUUCAGUGGGAACGAAAUUGACGGUACCCACAGAAGAAGCCCCGGCCAACUACGUGCCAGCAGCCGCGGUGAUACGUAGGGGGCGAGCGUUGUCCGGAUUCAUUGGGCGUAAAGAGCUCGUAGGCGGCUUGGUAAGUCGGGUGUGAAACCUCCAGGCUCAACCUGGAGACGCCACUCGAGACUGCCCUGGCUGGAGUCCGGUAGGGGACCACGGAAUUCCUGGUGUAGCGGUGAAAUGCGCAGAUAUCAGGAGGAACACCAGUGGCGAAGGCGGUGGUCUGGGCCGGUACUGACGCUGAGGAGCGAAAGCGUGGGGAGCGA